GGAGGUACAGCUCAAGUGGUAGAGUGCAUGCUUAGCAAGCAUGAGGUCCUGGUUAUAUCCCCAGUACCUCCC
This 72-nucleotide transfer RNA is filed under the name Camelus bactrianus (Bactrian camel). It matches the Rfam family "tRNA". From Rfam's summary of the family: Transfer RNA (tRNA) molecules are approximately 80 nucleotides in length. Their secondary structure includes four short double-helical elements and three loops (D, anti-codon, and T loops). Further hydrogen bonds mediate the characteristic L-shaped molecular structure. tRNAs have two regions of fundamental functional importance: the anti-codon, which is responsible for specific mRNA codon recognition, and the 3' end, to which the tRNAs corresponding amino acid is attached (by aminoacyl-tRNA synthetases). tRNAs cope with the degeneracy of the genetic code in two manners: having more than one tRNA (with a specific anti-codon) for a particular amino acid; and 'wobble' base-pairing, i.e. permitting non-standard base-pairing at the 3rd anti-codon position. The record is from Rfam by way of RNAcentral. RNAcentral also lists the same sequence under 1 other name. Lineage: Eukaryota; Metazoa; Chordata; Mammalia; Artiodactyla; Camelidae.